RNAcentral lists this ribosomal RNA (409 nucleotides) under uncultured beta proteobacterium. RNAcentral's name for it is "bacterial SSU rRNA". It matches the Rfam family "Bacterial small subunit ribosomal RNA", at positions 9 to 426 of the family's 1533-position model. Lineage: Bacteria; Pseudomonadati; Pseudomonadota; Betaproteobacteria. The record is from RNAcentral.
GAGUUUGAUCUUGGCUCAGAUUGAACGCUGGCGGCAUGCCUUACACAUGCAAGUCGAACGACGCUAGGGGCAACUCUAGCGAGUGGCGAACGGGUGAGUAAUACAUCGGAACGUGUCCUGUCGUGGGGGAUAACCAGUCGAAAGACUGGCUAAUACCGCAUGACCUCGCAAGAGAAAAGCGGAGGACCGCAAGGCUUCGCGCGAUUGGAGCGGCCGAUGUCGGAUUAGCUAGUUGGCGGGGUAAUGGCCCACCAAGGCGACGAUCCGUAGCUGGUUUGAGAGAACGACCAGCCACACUGGGACUGAGACACGGCCCAGACUCCUACGGGAGGCAGCAGUGGGGAAUUUUGGACAAUGGGGGCAACCCUGAUCCAGCCAUGCCGCGUGUGUGAAGAAGGCCUUCGGUUGU